This 253-nucleotide ribosomal RNA is filed under the name uncultured bacterium. Its description in RNAcentral is "partial 16S ribosomal RNA". It matches the Rfam family "Bacterial small subunit ribosomal RNA", at positions 524 to 776 of the family's 1533-position model. The record is from RNAcentral.
UACAGAGGUCUCAAGCGUUGUUCGGAUUCAUUGGGCGUAAAGGGUGCGUAGGUGGCGCUGUAAGUCGGGUGUGAAAUUUCGGAGCUUAACUCCGAAACUGCAUUCGAUACUGCGGUGCUUGAGGACUGGAGAGGAGACUGGAAUUCAUGGUGUAGCGGUGAAAUGCGUAGAUAUCGUAAGGAAGACCAGUGGCGAAGGCGGGUCUCUGGACAGUUCCUGACGCUGAGGCACGAAGGCCAGGGGAGCAAACGGG